This is a long non-coding RNA of Onychostruthus taczanowskii (white-rumped snowfinch), 343 nucleotides long. RefSeq lists it as uncharacterized. The transcript is spliced from 3 exons. The record is from RefSeq and is a predicted model, not a curated record. NCBI's taxonomy places the organism in Eukaryota, Metazoa, Chordata, Aves, Passeriformes, Passeridae.
GAAAGGGGCCUGAAACAGAUACCCUGUAAUUUACAUCCCUGCUUAGUGCCUCGGUGAGGAAAGGCGGCCUUUGCUCCAAAUUGGCAUGUCCUCUGCCGGCACUGAGGAGAACUGUACCGGAGAAGAUGUAGGACCUGUGUCAGUGUACUUGAUCCCUGGAUUUCAUCACACAUGACUUCACUGCAACUGCUUUGCUUUACCCCUUGCUCAACAACAAAGAGUCUUUCUAGACGAGAAGAUGUUCAGAGUGAGACUGACAGUGUAUUUCUUCUAUGCCUAACAAAGGGCUACAGUCCUGGCUAAAGGCUCUGGGUGCUGCUGUCACAUGGAUAAUCAUCCAGGG